Molecule: long non-coding RNA, 519 nt
Organism: Phalaenopsis equestris
Lineage: Eukaryota; Viridiplantae; Streptophyta; Magnoliopsida; Asparagales; Orchidaceae
Exons: 2
Source: RefSeq, a predicted model, not a curated record
AAUAGUGCUGGUUUCGUCUAUCUACGCUUCGAAAACACUACGGCAGCCAUGAAUGCGCAGCGUGCACUUCAUGGAAGAUGGUUUGCCGGAAAAAUGAUUACAGCUACCUUCAUGAUUCCUCAGAACUACGAUGCAAAAUUUCCCAAUUGACUAAUGUUAAAAUCUCUCAGAUCAUAUUUGAAAGUUGUGGCCUUUUCGCCGUCUACAGCUUUGUUGGGUGGGAAAUACUAUAAUAAGUGAUGGUGUUGUAGGAUUCGUUCUACUCAUUCUUUAGCUGGUUUGUUUCGUGGGGAGCCUCGGUUCUCCAAUCCCCACACGAACCUGUUAGCCUUGAUGGCAGGAUUAGGAAGGGGAUCAGCAAUGUCUUCCUGUGCUGUACUUUUUAUAUAAUUUUUUUUUUAAAAGUUAUGUGGAGAUAUUUUUAAGGUCUGCUUCGGCUAUCCAAACAGCUGCAUAUUCUGUAAGCAGUCACCAAAUCUGUGAUCUCAAGAACAGCAGUUUAAUUUUUAUUUUUCUUGA